AUGAAUACGUUUGUCGGGAAGGGUUGCUGCUGGCCUCCUCGGAGGCAUGUGCGCGCCUCGACCGCAUUCCACCCCUUCACACCUGUGCACAACCGCGGAGGGCGCUGCGAGGCCCCCUCUGCGAAACUUUUCACAAACCCCCUAGUCGUAACAGAACGGUAUUCGUAGUAGUGCGUCUUGCGCAUGAAUAAAUA
Molecule: unclassified non-coding RNA, 194 nt
Filed under: uncultured fungus
Lineage: Eukaryota; Fungi
Description: sequence contains ITS1, 5.8S rRNA gene
Source: RNAcentral